Molecule: ribosomal RNA, 492 nt
Filed under: uncultured bacterium
Lineage: Bacteria
Description: partial 16S ribosomal RNA
Rfam family: Bacterial small subunit ribosomal RNA
Source: RNAcentral
AGUGAACGCUGGCGGUAGGCCUAACACAUGCAAGUCGAACGGCAGCACAGUAAGAGCUUGCUCUUACGGGUGGCGAGUGGCGGAUGGGUGAGGAAUACAUCGGAAUCUACUUUUUCGUGGGGGAUAACGUAGGGAAACUUACGCUAAUACCGCAUACGACCUACGGGUGAAAGCAGGAGAUCUUCGGACCUUGCGCGAUUGAAUGAGCCGAUGUCGGAUUAGCUAGUUGGCGGGGUAAAGGCCCACCAAGGCGACGAUCCGUAGCUGGGCUGAGAGGAUGAUCAGCCACACUGGAACUGAGACACGGUCCAGAUGCCUACGGGAUGGAGGCGUCGGGAAUAUUGGACAAGGGGCGCAAGCCUGAUCCAGCCAUGCCGCGUGGGUGAAGAAGGCCUUCGGGUUGUAAAGCCCUUUUGUUGGGAAAGAAAAGCAGCAGGUUAAUAACCCGCUGUUCUGACGGUACCCAAAGAAUAAGCACCGGCUAACCUCGUG